RNAcentral lists this ribosomal RNA (253 nucleotides) under uncultured bacterium. Its description in RNAcentral is "partial 16S ribosomal RNA". It matches the Rfam family "Bacterial small subunit ribosomal RNA", at positions 524 to 776 of the family's 1533-position model. The record is from RNAcentral.
UACGUAGGGUGCGAGCGUUAAUCGGAAUUACUGGGCGUAAAGCGUGCGCAGGCGGUUUUGUAAGCCAGGUGUGAAAUCCCCGGGCUCAACCUGGGAAUGGCAUUUGGGACUGCAAGGCUGGAGUGCGGCAGAGGAGACUGGAAUUUCCGGUGUAGCGGUGAAAUGCGUAGAUAUCGGAAGGAACACCUGUGGCGAAAGCGGCUCACUGGACCAUUACUGACGCUGAGGCACGAAAGCUAGGGGAGCAAACAGG